UAGGGAAUCUUCGCCAAUGGGGGCAACCCUGACCGAGCAACGCCGCGUGGGGGAAGAAGGUUUUCGGAUCGUAAAGCUCUUUUGUAAGAGAAGAACGUGGGGGAGAUUGGAAAGUUCACACAGUGACGUAACUUUACAAGAAAGGACGGGCUAACUCCGUGCCAGCGGCCGCGGUAAUACGUAGGUCCCGAGCGUUGUCCGGAUUUAUUGGGCGUAAAGCGAGCGCAGGCGGUUUAAUAAGUCUGAAGUUAAAGGCAGUGGCUUAACCAUUGUUCGCUUUGGAAACUGUUAAACUUGAGUGCAGAAGGGGAGAGUGGAAUUCCAUGUGUAGCGGUGAAAUGCGUAGAUAUAUGGAGGAACACCGGUGGCGAAAGCGGCUCUCUGGUCUGUAACUGACGCUGAGGCUCGAAAGCGUGGGGAGCAAACAGG
This 429-nucleotide ribosomal RNA is filed under the name bacterium. RNAcentral's name for it is "partial 16S ribosomal RNA". It matches the Rfam family "Bacterial small subunit ribosomal RNA", at positions 355 to 776 of the family's 1533-position model. The record is from RNAcentral.